RNA transcript from Loxodonta africana (African savanna elephant), 5177 nucleotides. It is a transcript of the gene named small integral membrane protein 47, with no coding region annotated. The transcript has 6 exons. NCBI's taxonomy places the organism in Eukaryota, Metazoa, Chordata, Mammalia, Proboscidea, Elephantidae. The record is from RefSeq and is a predicted model, not a curated record.
CAAGCACCAAACGGGGUUUCCCACACCGGCGCUUGUACAGGACGCCUCAGGCGGUAUCCGGAACGGUCUUGCGAGCCGCGCGCUCGCUAUAAAGCGGGGCGUCAGGCGACACGCGCACUCUUUGGAAAAGGUACAUGUUGAACCUGAGCAGCCAUCCAGCCACUCCUGUCUCAGUAAGAAGCCUCACUCCCACCUGUCCUGCCCAGGCCUUCGGGCAACUUUGUAUCAAGUAUCUCUAGCAUCUAAUUCAUGUGUCAACAAUCAUAUUCAGGACAUAGCCUGCUCUCUGACCUACUGAUCUUGGAUUUGUCAGCCCCUGCAGUUACGUGAGUCAGGUAAAGCCUCCAUCCUGACGCCUGACCCACAGACUUUGGACUUGCCAGCCUCUACAGCUGUAGAACCCAGCCUAAGACAGCGUUAGAGGCCAGGCAUGGUGCUGGGGAGGGGGCUGCCUCGUGGUACCCCGGAGGCCAUGUGUUGGUCAUCUUUCCUGCCUGAGCUUUUGAGAUCUCAACUGUGCUGUCCCUCACAGGACUACAGGUGGUUCUUCAGGAGUCAGACGCCAUCUCGCAGACCCAGCAGUUAGAGCUGACAGCACACCGGUGCCCACCCACCCAGGCCAGGGAAACCACUACCACACACAUAUUCACCAACUUUAUAGCCACUUCACAUCGCUUCAAGCAGCACUACAAGCCCGUGAUCGCCUAGAUUUUGCUGGUGUACGACAGGCCCUGUCUCUGGAACUCGGAGGAACCAGGGAUUCUGGUUAGGCUGACUUGGCACCCUCUUCAGCUACUGCCGCCGGACCCUGAAGUCGAACACCAGCUGCUGCUUACCUGGCUACUGCGGGCCUGGCACCUGCAAAGUGCUCCCCUGGCCCUGGGCCACCCUGGAGGGAGGUGUGCAGCAGGUGUGGGAGCUGAGCAUGCUCAGCUGAAUCUACUGUGACCCACCCAUGGCCUCCCCGCAGCACCCUGAGGACAUGCCCUUCGCCCACGACCUGUAGUGGCACAUCCUGACAGAUGCAUCAGAGGAGUUGCGUCCGUUGCUUGUCACAGUGGUGGUCAAGGGCCAGAUGGUGCUGGAGGCAAUGAAGGCUGGCUGGACCUUGGCAGACUUUGGCCCGCUGAAGUGCAAGGCCAGCCCUGCCCUCAGGUCCUGCUGGCACCCAAGCCCACAAGCAAGGACCUGAUGUGCUGGCUGCAGGGCCCUGAGUGCCCAGGGAGAAGGUGGAGAUGCAGCUGCCUGCCCACAGGCUGCAUGAGGAGCAGUCCCUGCCACUGCCCUACGGUGACUCAGCCUGCAAGGAGGAGCCACCGAAGCACCAUGCUAGGCCCCAGGCCCCGUGUGUGGUCACACUGAGACUGCCUAGCCUGGGCCCUCAUGCUGGCACUUGGGGGACAGGGUGAAGGGAGACUGAUACUUGGUGAGACAGGACAGGGAGUGUACGUAGGGUGGGCGCGAGUCCUUCCCCAUGUAUCCGCAGUCACAAGAGCAGAAGGCCUUCACAGGGAGCAGGCCACACCCUGAUAGCCCAGAAGAGAGGAGUGUCCUCAUCUCACCACUUCUAAACGUAUCACUGGCCAGAGCUUGAUGACAGGGUGGCAGGCAAGAGCCCUUGGGGGAAGGGUGUGUGGUCAGUUCACUUCUCCCUGUAUAGCAAAGGGGAUGGGCACGAUAGUGCCCCCAUCCCUCUGCCACCUAGGCCCUUGAAGCACUGCAGGCCAAGUGGGAAGACUCGUGAAGCACUCCUUUUUUUGGGUAAGGCUUUUUAAAAAUGCAAUCCUUUUACGUAGUACUUUAUACUAAGCAUUGCAGAUAAGCAGUUUGGCCCCCACAGCCUCCAGAACAAAAGUAUGUGCCCCAUGGGAGAAUUGACCGCCACCCUGGUGUCUUUUAACUCAGUAAUGUAAUUAAUUAAUACAAGCUUACAAAGUGUAAUCUUAUAUCUGGGGGAGAAGGAAUAUUUCAUUGGCACCAUAAGGCCAGGAACAGCCACACGAUGGUCACAUAUUGUCACAGGAUGGUCAUGCCCUUUGCGUCUUAACAAAGGAGUAUGAGCAGACCUUAAAAUUGGGGCUGCUUGGCAUGAUUGAAUGGGUUAAUCCCAGACCUAAAUUGAAAUUCUAAGUUAAGGUGCAGCUAGGUUUGAAGGCUGCCUCUGCCUUCCACAUAAGACAAGGUGGCUUCGUGUGAAAGUUUUAAUUGUUCGUGGCACAGACUGUAGAGACGUGGGCCUUAGCUCAUGUAAAUAACCUUGCUAUGUCUUAACUGCUCUCAGGCAAGUCAUCCUGUCAAUCUCUGCUCAUUCCCUCCUAGCCAGAUGGGCAGUGUUCACAUUACAAAAGGUUUCAGGUUAGCGCUGAUUUAAUCUCCUUCCUCACCAAGUGGCCAACUUUUACAUUUCAAGGACUCCAACUAGGGUUGAACCAGCGGACCUACAGUUGGUCACUAAACCUGUGAACUGAUCUACAGACCUUUUCAAAUUUCCCCAGUAUUCCCACUCAUGUCGUUCCUCUGACCUGGGAUCCAAUCCAGGAUCUCAGAUUCCAUCUAGUUACCAUAUAUUGCCUUUCAGUUGUUGGGUGCCAUCGAGUCAAUUCCAAUUCAUAGAGACUAUAGGGCAGAGUAAACUGCCUGAUAGGGUUUCCAAGGCUGUAAUCUUUACAGGUGAUUGGGAAGCUGGCACAGGACCGGGCAGUGUAUUGUUCUGUUAUACACAGGGUCACUAUGAGUCAGAACCGACUUGACAGCACCUAACAACAUUUACAGGGGCAGAUCGCCAGGUCUUUGUCCCUUGGAGCCACAGGGUGGGUUCAGACUGCCUACCUUUCAGUUAGCAGCCGAGCGCCAACUAUGACGCCACCAGGGCUCCUUACGUAUGCCAUCGAGUCAGUUCCGACUCAUGGCAACCCUAUAGGACAGAGUAGAACUGCCCCAUAGGAUUUCCAAGGCUGUAAAUCUUUAUGGAAGCAGACUGCUACAUCUUUCGGGGAGUGGCUGGUGGGUAGAAACCGGUGACCUUUUGGUUAGCUGCUGAGUGCUUCACCACUGCACCACCCAGGCUCUUUACAUAUAUACCAACACGUAUAUACAUACCAACAUACACACGUAUGGAACCCUGGUGGUACAGGAGUUAAACACUGGGCUGCUAGCCAAAAUGUGGUCAGUAUGAACCCACUCAGCCACGCUGCAGGGGAAAGACCCAGCAAUCUGCAUCCGUAAAGAUGACAGGGCAAAAAAUCAUACGGAGCAGUUCUACUCUGUCACAUGAGGCGGUUAGGAGGCAAAAUCGACUCAAUGGUGUAAGGACAAGUACAAGGGGAACAAACGGUACCUCUCCCUGGUGAAAAUAGGGGAAGGAGCUCCCCUUCUCCGCUGCUGUCUUUCGAAUUCAUUUUAGAUAACUUGUAAAUUCUGUGUCUUCCUGGAAAGUGUGUCAGCGUAACUUCAAGUUUCUCAUAUACCUUCCUGUUUUUCAUAGAAGGAGAUUAGCAUAAAUUUAGGUGGCCCACCCUAUCUCUGAGCCAGAAGGAUUAGAAAAGUAACGUUUAUCUUUAAAAUAUGACCGUAAUGACUGUACCCCCUUACCUAUUUAAUGGUUAAGAUUUUGUUCUGUCUUUGCAAUCUCUCGUGGAAAAUCUGUGAUGAAUCACAUUCUCGUUUAAUGCUUAUUCAAUAAUAAAACUUCCUUGUCUUUUUGCAGAGAGGUUUUCUGGGUUGGAAGUAUGCCCAAAACCCACUGCUGUCAAGGUGAUUCCAACUCAUAGUGACCCCAUAGGGUUUCUGAGGCUGUAAUCUCUGGAAGCGGACUGCCACAUCUUUUCUCCCGUGGAGCCACUGGUGGUUUCAAACUGCCAGCCUUUCAGUUAGCAGUCGAUCGCUUUAACUGCACCAGGAGUAGAUUUUGUUUUUAGUAACUUCCCCAACAGUGCCACCUAACAACAAUAUAUGCACUCAUAUACCAAGCCUUAUACACUCACACACAGCCACAUGCACACAUAAAAAAAAACAAACCUGUUGCCGUCGAGUCGAUUCCAACUCAGCAACCCUAUGGGACAAAGUAGAACUACCCAUAGAGUUUCCAAGGAGCGCCUGGUGGGUUCGAACUGCUGACCUUUUGGUUAGCAGCUGUAGCACUAAACCACUACACGACCUAAGUGUAAAAACAAAUGUCCAUAUAUACCACGCUUGCAGCACAAACACACAGACCUGCCUGUGACUUCCAAGUAGGUCACCAUCCCCACUGCAGGCCCAGCUCCCGCUCCCCCCACACACAGGUGCACACAGUAAAUCACAGGAGCCUGAGGAGCGGUGAGCAGUCGUGUUGGGAUCAGGUGUCAGCUAUAAGGGGGUAGGGUUGGGAUUACCCCAGGUUCUGACUCACACAGGGCCCCCCCAGGCCCUCAGGCAGCCCGGUCUCCAGGCCAGCACGCCCAGCCCCAAACUGAGGGCUGCUAGCACGGCCACAGCUCCGGCCAGCAGGGGCAUCGCAGUGGCUGUGGGGAGAAUAGGGGGUGUUAUAGAUUGAAUUGCGUCCCCCCAAAUUCUGUGUUGUAAAUCCUAAUCCCUAUACCUGUGGUUGUAGGCCUACUUGGGAAUGAGUUUUCUUUGUUAUCUUAAUGGGUUAAUACAAGUAGUGUCCUGAUGUGUGAUGUAUUCUAGUUACUAUAAGCUGCAGUUAACUUCUGAUCUGGGGCGGGGGGCUUACAUAACGCACGUAUAAUUGGAGAACAGGAAGCACCGAUGUUGAAGCUGUAAGUUUAUAUGUAAUACUUCCAACCCCCAAAGACAAAGAUUGGAUUUAUAAAGAUACUGAUAAUAAAAGACAGUAAUACUGAAAACUAAAAAAAAAAGUAUUGGAGCUUUGUCAGAACCAAUUUAAGAUGGAGUUGUCAAAACAUAAUCCUGUCAUAAAUCAGGGGCUACCUGUAUUAGCUUGGGUAUGUCUUGAGUCAAUCUCUUGACAUAUAAAAGGAACAGAUGAAGCAAGCAGAGAUGGAGGAAGGCAGAUGCUAUGCUACCUGAAGAUCACCAGGGAGCCAAGGAACAAGCUGAAAAGAGACAAGGACCUUCCCCCAGAGCCGACAGAGAGAGCCUUCCCCUAGAGACAGCGGCCUGAAUUCGAACUUCUAGCCUCCCAAACUGUGAGAAUAUAACUUUGUUUGUUAAAGCCA